GCGGGAAUGCUGGAAUUGGCAGACAGGCAUGACUAAGGAUCAUGUUUCCGUAGGAAGUGUGGGUUCAAGUCCCAUUUCCCGCA
This 83-nucleotide transfer RNA is filed under the name Cuneatibacter caecimuris. It matches the Rfam family "tRNA". From Rfam's summary of the family: Transfer RNA (tRNA) molecules are approximately 80 nucleotides in length. Their secondary structure includes four short double-helical elements and three loops (D, anti-codon, and T loops). The record is from Rfam by way of RNAcentral. Lineage: Bacteria; Bacillati; Bacillota; Clostridia; Lachnospirales; Lachnospiraceae. RNAcentral also lists the same sequence under 1 other name.